RNAcentral lists this long non-coding RNA (830 nucleotides) under Equus caballus (horse). Its description in RNAcentral is "lncRNA (ENSECAG00000051069.1)". The record is from RNAcentral. Lineage: Eukaryota; Metazoa; Chordata; Mammalia; Perissodactyla; Equidae.
AAGAAAGAUUCUGACGUGGACUGAGGCUGAUGCAAAAAAUCCACGGAGCUGGAAGUUACCUCAAAACAAGGUUCUGUGUCACCAACUGAUGCACGGCCAGAUCUUGAUAGCGGACUUGACUAUGCCAUGGUUACACCACUCAGUCCCUUUUGAGAACACAAGGUCCGUUCUUUGGAAGUGACUGUGCAAUACUUCAUCCUGUCCUGCCACCAUCAGUCCUCAUCCUUUACCUCUGCAAGUUACACCGAAGUUCUUCAGGUGGUAGCUGAUGAGAGCAGUAACACAGGAAGUUGCCCAGCUGGGGAUGAAGACACAAGAGCCUACUGCAGAACCACAGCUUCUCAGACCUUUGUACGUGCACAAGCCCUCUGUCUCACCUCCAAUAGAAAGCCAUCCAUCCCCUGUGGGAAUAUUUCUCCCGGGGUAACAACUUUACUAGGAAACUCAGCUAAGAGGCACAUUAACUGUCCAGCAGCCUAUUGGGAAGAGUGGUAGAGGGGGCGAUGUUAAGUCAGGAGGAGAUCGUGUGUGUGGACCAGGAGAAAUACAGCCUUUCAUGACAUUGAGCAUUGUGAGAAGAGUGAGAACACAUUUUCAGAUCAUCAGAAAUGAUUACCAAUUGAAAAGAACGCAGUGUUGCCUUUGCCAUAAUGAGAGGGGCUGAGAGGGCAGCUACAGCAAGGAUGUGGAGAGAAGCAGGGACAGUGAGUCUCCAGCAGCAGGGAGAACAGGGGCCACCCAGACCAGGAGACAGCAUCUAGAGGACUGGGGACAGUGGGCUAUUGCUCUGGCAUCUUCAUUUUCUGUUCCCUUCCACCCACUAGGCAGCC